Molecule: unclassified non-coding RNA, 391 nt
Filed under: soil metagenome
Description: partial contains 5.8S ribosomal RNA, internal transcribed spacer 2, and large subunit ribosomal RNA
Rfam family: 5.8S ribosomal RNA (bases 1-122)
Source: RNAcentral
GAUGAAGAACGCAGCGAAAUGCGAUACUUAGUGUGAAUUGCAGAAUCCCGUGAACCAUCGAGUCUUUGAACGCAAGUUGCGCCCGAAGCCAUUAGGCCGAGGGCACGCCUGCCUAGGCGUCACACGUCGUUGCCCCCCCAUCUACUCCUUCGGGAUUGCGGGGGGCGGAUGAUGGCCUCCCGUGCGCCUUGUCGCGCGGUUGGCAUAAAUGCCAAGUCCUCGGCGACGCACGCCACGACAAUCGGUGGUUGCGAAACCUCGGUUGCCCGUCGUGUGCGGUCGUCGCGCAUCGAGGGCUCGAAAAAAUUGUCGGGCUCCGGCUCGGCUUUCAACGCGACCCCAGGUCAGGCGGGGUUACCCGCUGAAUUUAAGCAUAUCAAUAAGCGGAGGA